AACGAACGCUGGCGGCAGGCCUAACACAUGCAAGUCGAACGGAACCUGCGGGUCUGGUGGCGCACGGGGGCGUAACGGGUGGGAACCUGCCCUGAAAUUCGGCAGAACGCCCCGAAUGAGGUGCGAAUACCGGAGAAUGUCUUCCAACCAACGAUUUAUCGACAGUGGAUGGGCUCAGGUUCGAUUGGCUACAGGGGGGGGUAAGGGCCUACAAAGGGGAGGAUCGGUAACUGGUCUGAGAGGAUGAGCAGCCACACUGGAACUGAGAGACGGUCCAGACUCCUAGGGGAGGCACCAGUGGGGAAUAUUGGACGAGGGGCGAAGGGCUGAUCCAGCCAUGCCGCGGGAGUGAAGAAGGUCUUCGGAUUGUAAAGCACUUUAAGUUGGGAGGAUGGGCAGUAAGUUUAUACCGGGCUGUUUUGACGUUACCAACAGAAUAAGCACCGGCUAACUUCGUG
Molecule: ribosomal RNA, 458 nt
Filed under: uncultured bacterium
Lineage: Bacteria
Description: partial 16S ribosomal RNA
Rfam family: Bacterial small subunit ribosomal RNA
Source: RNAcentral